This is a long non-coding RNA of Oncorhynchus kisutch (coho salmon), 1587 nucleotides long. NCBI's taxonomy places the organism in Eukaryota, Metazoa, Chordata, Actinopteri, Salmoniformes, Salmonidae. The record is from Ensembl.
AUGCACCCUAGAACCCACCUCCGCCCGGCAGCAGGUCUCUCUCUAGCAGAAAGAGGUGGUAGCCCCACUGCCCCUCCAGAACCCUGGGCAGGAGCACCUCCAGUGCCUCCUCUCUUCCUCCUCCCCCCGCCUCCUCAGAGGAAGAGCUGGGCACGUAGGACACAAAGGCAUCAUAUUCCUUGUCAUCUACAGAGUCAAUACAGGGAAGGAGACAGAAGAGACAUUCAUCUACAGAGUCAAUACAGGGAAGGAGACAGAAGAGACAUUCAUCUACAGGGUCAAUACAGGGAAGGAGACAUUCAUCUACAGGGUCAAUACAGGGAAGGAGACAGAAGAGACAUUCAUCUACAGGGUCAAUACAGGGAAGGAGACAGAAGAGACAUUCAUCUACAGAGUCAAUACAGGGAAGGAGACAGAAGAGACAUUCAUCUACAGGGUCAAUACAGGGAAGGAGACAGAAGAGACAUUCAUCUACAGGGUCAAUACAGGGAAGGAGACAUUCAUCUACAGAGUCAAUACAGGGAAGGAGACAGAAGAGACAUUCAUCUACAGAGUCAAUACAGGGAAGGAGACAUUCAUCUACAGAGUCAAUACAGGGAAGGAGACAGAAGAGACAUUCAUCUACAGGGUCAAUACAGGGAAGGAGACAUUCAUCUACAGAGUCAAUACAGGGAAGAAGACAGAAGAGACAUUCAUCUACAGGGUCAAUACAGGGAAGGAGACAUUCAUCUACAGAGUCAAUACAGGGAAGAAGACAGAAGAGACAUUCAUCUACAGGGUCAAUACAGGGAAGGAGACAUUCAUCUACAGAGUCAAUACAGGGAAGGAGACAGAAGAGACAUUCAUCUACAGAGUCAAUACAGGGAAGGAGACAUUCAUCUACAGAGUCAAUACAGGGAAGGAGACAGAAGAGACAUUCAUCUACAGGGUCAAUACAGGGAAGGAGACAUUCAUCUACAGAGUCAAUACAGGGAAGAAGACAGAAGAGACAUUCAUCUACAGGGUCAAUACAGGGAAGGAGACAGAAGAGACAUUCAUCUACAGAGUCAAUACAGGGAAGGAGACAGAAGAGACAUUCAUCUACAGGGUCAAUACAGGGAAGGAGACAGAAGAGACAUUCAUCUACAGAGUCAAUACAGGGAAGGAGACAGAAGAGACAUUCAUCUACAGGGUCAAUACAGGGAAGGAGACAGAAGAGACAUUCAUCUACAGAGUCAAUACAGGGAAGGAGACAUUCAUCUACAGGGUCAAUACAGGGAAGGAGACAGAAGAGACAUUCAGGUUACAGGGUCAAUACAGGGAAGGAGACAUUCAUCUACAGAGUCAAUACAGGGAAGGAGACAGAAGAGACAUUCAGGUUACAGGGUCAAUACAGGGAAGGAGACAUUCAUCUACAGAGUCAAUACAGGGAAGGAGACAGAAGAGACAUUCAUCUACAGAGUCAAUACAGGGAAGGAGACAGAAGAGACAUUCAUCUACAGGGUCAAUACAGGGAAGGAGACAUUAAUCUACAGAGUCAAUACAGGGAAGGAGACAGAAGAGACAUUCAGGUUACAUGGUCAAUACAGUGUAUUGAUGAAUCAUUGA